CAAAAGAUGUUUCAGAUAAGAAGACAUGGGACCAGUUUCAUGAAUUCAAGAUGUAUCAGGGAAUUGAAGAGCCAGCCAGAUCACUGAGUUUCUGAAAAUGCUUCAGAGCCAUAAAAGUGAAACAAGUGUCCUGUUAUUGAUGAAGGUGACUUUUGGACCCCACCCACAAGUGGGGGCUGGUUGUCAGGAAGACCAGUCAUAUGAUUAUAGGAUUGGAACUUUCAGUUCUACCACCCAACCUCUGGGGAGGGGAAAGGAGCUGGAGGUUGAAUCAGCCAAUGGCCAGUGUCUUAGUCAAUCAUGAUAUAUAAUGAAGCCUCUAUAAAAGCCCUAGAGGACUGGGUUCAGAGAUCUUCUGGGUUGGUGAACACAUGGGGAUGCAGAGAGAGUACCACACCUGGAAGGAGCAUGGAAGAUACAUGUCCUCACCCCAUAAGUUGUCCCAUGUAUCUCUUCAUCUGGCUGUUAGUUUAUACCCUUUAUCAUAUCCUUUCAUAAACUGGGCAUAAAUAUAAUGGAAGUAAAUGUU
This is a long non-coding RNA of Neofelis nebulosa (Clouded leopard), 529 nucleotides long. RefSeq lists it as uncharacterized. NCBI's taxonomy places the organism in Eukaryota, Metazoa, Chordata, Mammalia, Carnivora, Felidae. The record is from RefSeq and is a predicted model, not a curated record. The transcript has 2 exons.